AUUAAUAAUUAUUUCCUAACAAUUGUCUUUGUAUUUUACGUCAUAUUCAACAAGUUUCGUAGCUUAAUCGAAGUCACCUGAAGGACGGCUUUCCUCAGCAACGGCAAGGCCCGCACUCCUCUCAUAUUGUGAAGUUUAACAAGUUUCGCGGCUCAAGCAAGAGGCACCUGUCACUGAAGGACUGCUUUUCUCAGCUACGACGUGAACAGCAUCACUCGAAUUUCCUGGUUCAGCUGAUCUACCCAUCUUCGUACAAGCAGAGUUGGCAGAGGAGGUCAUAAAAAUCUACAUCCUUCGGGACAAUGAUGGGGCAGUCAGCGAUGUAAUCUUGGGAAUCACAGCAGAGCCUGCUGCCAUCUUUUGGGAGUCACAUUGGAUUUGAGAUAUCCCAAGACCCACAAAUACAGGUCCUUCUCCAAAAAUUAGCAUAUUGUGAUAAAGUUCAUUAUUUUCCUUGAUGUAAUGAUAAAAAUUAAACUUUCAUAUAUUUUAGAUUCAUUGCACACCAACUGAAAUAUUUCAGGUCUUUUAUUGUUUAAAUACUGAUGCUUUUGGCAUACAGCUCAUGAAAACCCCAAACUCCUAUCUCAAAAAAUUAGCUUAUUUCAUCUGACCAAUAAAAGAAAGGUGUUUUUAAUACAAAAAAAAGUCAACCUUCAAAUAAUUAUGUUCAGUUAUGCACUUAAUACUUGGUCGGGAAUCCUGCAGAAAUGACUGCUUCAGUGUGGCAUGGAGGCAUGCCUGUGGCACUGCUGAGGUGUUAUGGAGGCCCAGGAUGCCUUGAUAGCGGCCUUAAGCUCAUCCAGAGUGUUGGAUCUUGCGUCUCUCAACUUUCUCUUCACAAUAUCCCACAGAUUCACUAUGGGGUUCAGGUCAGGAGAGUUGGCAGGCCAAUUGAGCACAGUAAUACCAUGGUCAGUAAACCAUUUACCAGUGGUUUUGGCACUGUAAGCAGGUGCCAGGUCGUGCUAAAAAACGAAAUCAUCUCCAUAAAGCUUUUCAGCAGAUGGAAGCAUGAAGUGCUCCAAAAUCUACUGAUAACUAGCUGCACUGACCCUGCCCUUGAUAAAACACAGUGGACCAACACCAGCAGCUGACAUGGCACCCCAGACCAUCACUGACUGUGGGUACUUGACACUGGACUUCAGGCAUUUUGGCAUUUCCUUCUCCCCAGUCUUCCUCCAGACUCUGGCACCUUGAUUUCCGAAUGACAUGCAAAAUUGGCUUUCAUCCAAAAAAAGUACUUAGGACCACUGAGCAACAGUCCAGUGCUGCUUCUCUGUAGCCCAUUUCCUGCACACGCCUGUGCACGGUGGCUCUGGAUGUUUCUACUCCAGACUCAGUCCACUGCUUCCGCAGGUCCCCCAAGGUCUGGAAUCAGUCCUUCUCCACAAUCUUCCUCAGGGUCCGGUCACUGCUUCUCGUUGUGCAGCGUUUUUUGCCACACUUUUUCCUUCCUACAGACUUCCCACUGAGGUGCCUUGAUACAGCACUCUGGUAACAGCCUAUUCGUUCAGAAAUUUAUUUCUGUGUCUUACCCUCUCGCUUGAGGGUGUCAAUGAUGGCCUUCUGGACAGCAGUCAGGUCGGCAGUCUUACCCAUG
Carassius gibelio (silver crucian carp) is the source of this 1603-nucleotide long non-coding RNA. RefSeq lists it as uncharacterized. The transcript has 3 exons. Lineage: Eukaryota; Metazoa; Chordata; Actinopteri; Cypriniformes; Cyprinidae. The record is from RefSeq and is a predicted model, not a curated record.